This 1018-nucleotide long non-coding RNA is filed under the name Marmota monax (woodchuck). Lineage: Eukaryota; Metazoa; Chordata; Mammalia; Rodentia; Sciuridae. The record is from RNAcentral.
GAUCAUGAUCAACACCAUUCGCAGUGUAGACAUUAAUCUAGAAUUCUCAUCAAUUUGCUCUGGAAUUAACAGAUUCUAUGGAUCAUCACUUCUCAAACUGCAGUGAGCAUGGCACUCCUGGGGGACUUGCAAAAACACAAGGUCUCUACCUGGCCUUCUCCUCUGGGUGUCUAGGUGAGGCCCAGAUUUCUGCAGUUUAACAAGCUACCUGCGUCACUAAUGCUGCUGGACUGCGGACCACACUUUGAGAAGCAAGAGAAGAAGCCACAGCUUCCGUGUUGCAGGAGGCAGAUGCACUGCCUGACAAGCGACCCCUGCGGGGCCAUGGUGAGCCUCAGGGUGUGUACCUGCCGUGAGGGCCUGACAACUGCCCAGCUCCUCCUCGGACAUGAACGUGACAAUGGCCUUGGCUGGCACAUAGCAUCAGAAGGGAGCAGCUAGUGUGGCCCCAGCACUCAUGAGCACUAGCUUGUCCGAUUUCCAGGACACCCUUCAGUAGCACUGACCUCCUGGGUUCUAUGUUUGCUGGUUUGUCCUUUACAGAAUCUUAGGGCUCUCACCUGGCCUUGGGGUGGCCUCCCGCCAGGGCAGGCAAAGCAAGGUCUCAGGACAGGCUGGCAGCGGUGCCCCCUCCCUUCUAACCCCAGGAGAUGGGGUCUCUUCAGGCCCCCUGCACAUUCCUGUGCUCCUCCCCUUUCUCCUGCCGUGGAUUGAGCCGGGGUCCUGCCACUGAUUCCUACCAAGGUGACCUGAGUGACAACAGGGACUUCCAAGAGGAUGUCCCUUUGCCACAUUUUUUCUUCCUCUGCAGGACCAAGAGCAGUGGGUUCCCAGUGAUUGAGGUGCAACAUACAAACAACUGGGAAGUCUGAGUCACCUCUUCCAGGAGAGUUGGGCUGCUUGAGCAGUGCCCACCUGCUAGAUGACCCCUCUCUUGUGCUCCACCACUGAGACUUCAGAGGCCACCCAUUGGCCAAGCAAGGCGAGCAUGGCCAGCCCUGCACCUGCCCACGAUCAC